AAUUGAUGCAGAUCCCUACCUUCAAGGCCAUGUUCCCAGGCAAUUCGCAUGGAGAACAAGUAGGAGUGGAGGACAACAACAAUGGCAGCAACAACAAAGAGAACCAGAUUGUACCUCCAUUGACGGAAAGUCAAUCGGUUCCAGUAAUCAACUUGGAGCUCCAGAACAGUGGUGACGGGCCACAACCUAGGUUGGAAGCAAGCCAACCUCAAACGAACAUCAUCCCAUCAUUUUCACAGGUGCAAAUGCCAAACAUUCCAAGCAAUGUCCAGCGAGUGAGCCAACAACUUCCACCAGUGCCUUGUUGUGCAUGAUGCAAGCGUGCAUCAACCAACCUCUCUACCAUACACAUUUCCGAUGCAGCAGUAUAUCACAACACCCCAGAGAGUUCACGCCACAAGCCAGUACGUGACGAAGGAUGAUAUGACCGACUUGAUCAAUCAACUUCACAGACAGACAUCUCGACCCUCGGAGUUAGACUUUACUCCUCCUUACCCUGCACACAUUCGGAGGCAACCUUACCCAACAGGGUAUAUUGAGCACCCACCGCAGUUUCCAAAAUACAAUGGGGAGAAAGGAAAUGCCAGAGAACACGUUGCCAGGUUCGUAGAGUCGAUGUCUCCAUGGCUAGGAUAUGAUGAAGUAAAC
RNAcentral lists this long non-coding RNA (648 nucleotides) under Panax ginseng (ginseng). RNAcentral's name for it is "long non-coding RNA (PGIN_LNC003239)". The record is from RNAcentral. Lineage: Eukaryota; Viridiplantae; Streptophyta; Magnoliopsida; Apiales; Araliaceae.